UGUCCAGUAGCACCUUAAAGACCAACUAAGUUUGUUCUGGGUAUAAGCUUUUGUGUGCAUUUUUAUACCCAGAACAAACUUAGUUUGUCACUAAGGUGCUACUGGACA
This is a non-coding RNA of Podarcis lilfordi (Lilford's wall lizard), 108 nucleotides long. NCBI's taxonomy places the organism in Eukaryota, Metazoa, Chordata, Lepidosauria, Squamata, Lacertidae. The record is from the annotation of a GenBank genome assembly.